RNAcentral lists this ribosomal RNA (453 nucleotides) under uncultured bacterium. RNAcentral describes it as "bacterial SSU rRNA". It matches the Rfam family "Bacterial small subunit ribosomal RNA", at positions 340 to 785 of the family's 1533-position model. The record is from RNAcentral.
UACGGGAGGCAGCAGUGGGGAAUAUUGCACAAUGGGCGCAAGCCUGAUGCAGCCAUGCCGCGUGUAUGAAGAAGGCCUACGGGUUGUAAAGUACUUUCAGUCGUGAGGAAGGUGUUAAGGUUAAUAACCUUAGCAAUUGACGUUAGCGACAGAAGAAGCACCGGCUAACUCCGUGCCAGCAGCCGCGGUAAUACGGAGGGUGCGAGCGUUAAUCGGAAUUACUGGGCGUAAAGGGCACGCAGGCGGUUAAUUAAGUUGGAUGUGAAAUCCCCGGGCUUAACCUGGGAAUGGCAUUCAGGACUGGUUAGCUAGAGUCUUGUAGAGGGGGUAGAAUUCCAUGUGUAGCGGUGAAAUGCGUAGAGAUGUGGAGGAAUACCGGUGGCGAAGGCGGCCCCUGGGACAAAGGACUGACGCUCAUGUGCGAAAGCGUGGGGAGCGAACAGGAUUAGAUAC